CCAAAUCUGUCCAAGUUGUUUACGUUAAUUGCUGUGAAAUUGUGGUCUAAGCUAGCUGGCUAUUGUGUGAAAACACCCCAACAGAAGUCAAAAAAAAAUUUCAAGAAAGACGGCUCUAGUUUCCAAUUCUUGACCAGCCUUCAAGUUUUACCAAAUCUGAUUCAAAGGUCAAAAAAAAAAAUUUUCAAGAAAGACGGCUCUAGUUUCCAAUUCUUGACCAGCCUUCAAGUUUUACCAAAUCUGAUUCAAACUUGGACUUUCAAAUCUGAACAGCCCUAGUCUUGGUCAGCAUUCAAGCCACCAAAUCUGAUUCAAACUUGGACUUCCAAAUCUGAACAACAUCCAAUUCUUGACAGCCUACAAGUUUACCAAAUUUGGUGCAAAAUCUGACUUCCAAAUCUGACCAGCCCCAAAAUUUCGAAUUUGGACCACUUGGGACUCCCAAAUCUGACCAAACUCCAAGGUUUC
RNAcentral lists this long non-coding RNA (468 nucleotides) under Coffea arabica (coffee). RNAcentral describes it as "long non-coding RNA (CARA_LNC005490)". Lineage: Eukaryota; Viridiplantae; Streptophyta; Magnoliopsida; Gentianales; Rubiaceae. The record is from RNAcentral.